Long non-coding RNA from Mercenaria mercenaria, 684 nucleotides. RefSeq lists it as uncharacterized. The record is from RefSeq and is a predicted model, not a curated record. Lineage: Eukaryota; Metazoa; Mollusca; Bivalvia; Venerida; Veneridae. The transcript is spliced from 3 exons.
AUUCUAGGGAUUGAAGUGGAAUCAUGGCAGUUGGCAGUGCUUCAACUUGUUUCAUAGAACAGACAUGAAUAUGAUGUAGAGAAAUUGCAUUUACCAGGAGCGCACCAGGGGGCAUUGGUCUGAAGUUUUCAUAAUUGGAACAGGACUGCGGACAUUUCAGAAACAAACUUAAUUAUAAUAGAUGCAGAUUGAAAAUGAGAAUGUACCAAGGAUCAGUUGUUGUGCCAGUUUUGGAUAUGAUCUGCAUAUUUGAUUUGAUUUCAAAGAUUUCAGUGUCAAUAGCAGCUACUGGCAGUCUGUGAUUCAGUGGGUUUUCCAAGAGUUUCUCUUGAUGGAUAUUGUCCAACCAGCGAACACUGUGGUAAUUCUAGUCUGAGUAAGGAAGAAUAUUCCAAAUAUGGGUAAUGUGAAAAAUACCACAUCAUUCUGAAAAAUCACUAUAAGAAUCUUAGAUAACUGCCUGUUUUCCAAAACCCGAGGGCAAGCAUGGAAUGGAAAACUGAUUGCUAGCAAGGUUUUUUAUCCAUGCUGUCCCGAGGGUGUGGAAAACACCUGCCUUACUCGGGCAGACAUUAAGAUCAUUUUUCUUGCCUACCAUUACUAUUAUUGCAAUAUUUUCAGAGAUAUUGUAGAUAAAAAUUGCUGUACAUUAUGACAUCAAAUAAUGACAUGAGUAUGUGCACA